This is an RNA transcript of Dreissena polymorpha, 1537 nucleotides long. RefSeq lists it as uncharacterized. NCBI's taxonomy places the organism in Eukaryota, Metazoa, Mollusca, Bivalvia, Myida, Dreissenidae. The record is from RefSeq and is a predicted model, not a curated record. The transcript has 4 exons.
GCAAGUUUUUACACAAGGGAAACAUAACAGUAAUGAAAGAAAAACAAUAUGGCUCGUAUGGAUAUUCAGAAGCGAAACUGUUCAAUCGGCAUGUUGCAAGCCGGUCAGUUAUUAAGACGUCAGCCAGUCAGUCCUUUCCAAUACCAGAAGUUACUCGCCCUUGGUUUCCGGCCCAGUACCCUCUUGUUGGACCCGGACUGCGUGUAUGAUGCCACCUGCCACCGCGCCUGUAGUACGCAUGCACCGCGAUCCCGGAAGGAGAGCCCACAGAAACCGGACGCACCUAGCGGAAUAGCGGCAUGGGGCGCUUUUGAUCCUUAGAUUGACGCGGCAACGCCGGACGAUCUAGCUUGCCCGGACGCCAAUGUCAUGCGCAGUGACAACAUCGACCGGAUCGCCCCAAGUUUGCACAGGCGCAGUGACAACAUUGACCGGAUCGCCCCAAGUCUGCACAUGCACAGUGACAACAUCGACCGGACCGCCCCAAGUCUGCACAUGCGCAGUGACAACAUCGACCAGAUCGCCCCGAGUCUGCACAUGCGCAGUGACACACCACCCAGUCGUCCGAACACCGCAGUUUUCAGUUUCCGGAACAACGCAAACGUGCCCCACUCGAAGGUGCAUUACCUAUUACAGACUCAACUCAACGUUCCGGUGCGAAGUAUCCAGUUCGAUCCCCUCGAUAUCCGGUCAUCGCGACCAGGUGUCGAAUCCCGCUGGGUCGUCGAAUUUCGUACUACAGCGGAUGUGUCAAAAGCUACACAGUCGGGACUUCUGGUGGACACGUACCGGCUGGUGUUUUACCAGCACGAUGACGUCACUAGCUGCGAAACCGCGGCCUAUAGAAACUACAUAGAGGUUGUUAACGCACAGGCCGUGAUAGCGGCGUCUGCUGAUAACGCAGUGCGCGGGAAACUUAAACUAUGUGACUAUGUCGUUAUGUUAAUUAAGGUUCCUUGGGAUAUGUACACUAGCAUGUACCAACAGUGACUCGAUUAGUACACAUUCAAGUGGAAUACUUACAUAAACGCCAUUUAAAUUCAAACAUCCACAUUCAUUUAUGACAAAAAAACGCUUCCCUUUUGUUGUCGAAGUUUUUGUUUGUUUUGAAUACUUAGGAAUAGAAUACAUGUAUUGAUAAUACUAACUUUUAACAUAUUGAAUCAUUUCCCACUUCAAACACAAAGUUAAAUCAUGUAUGCAUUAAACAUAUUAAGAACAAAUAUUUAUCAGCUUUGUUGUCAAGCCAUUUUAGUUUAAAGCCCUCCCCGUCAGACAAAUUGUGUGGAUAAAUUUGUGGACGGACCUACGAACUGACAGACAGACAUGAUGAUGGACAGAGGGUUAGCCUACGGCCACCUAUAUCAGAACACAUCUCUGAACACACAGUCGUGUGUUGUUUUUUUGGAUCCCUACAAACAAAACAAUUUAUUUGAUUUUGUAACAAUAUAUACAAUGAACAAAUAUGACAUGACACACAUAUAAUAUUUAUACUAUAAAAACAGCAUAUUAAGUAUAUCUGCAAAACGAGAUUUUG